The sequence is a ribosomal RNA, 566 nucleotides long. It matches the Rfam family "Bacterial large subunit ribosomal RNA", at positions 1831 to 2597 of the family's 2925-position model.
CGCCUCUUGUAACCUAUAAGAGGUACAGCCUGCCCAGUGACUCUGUUUAACGGCCGCGGUAUCCUAACCGUGCGAAGGUAGCGUAAUCACUUGUUCUUUAAAUGAGGACUAGUAUGAAUGGCAUCACGAGGGUUAUACUGUCUCCUUUUUCCAAUCAGUGAAACUAAUCUCCCCGUGAAGAAGCGGGGAUAUAUAUAUAAGACGAGAAGACCCUAUGGAGCUUUAAACUAAAUUACAUUUGCCUAACUAAUAAAAAUUUAAGAAAAAUAAUAUGCACCCAGGCUUUUUGAUAAUAAGUUUUAGGUUGGGGUGACCGCGGAGAAAAACACAUCCUCCGCAUUGAACAAGAUUGUUUUUUUUAGCUAAAAACUACAACUUUAAGCAUCAAUAAAUUGACAUCAUUGACCCAAUAUUUUGAUCAACGAACCAAGUUACCCUAGGGAUAACAGCGCAAUCCACUUCAAGAGCCCCUAUCGACAAGUGGGUUUACGACCUCGAUGUUGGAUCAGGGUGUCCCAGUGGUGCAGCCGCUACUAAAGGUUCGUUUGUUCAACGAUUAAAACCCU